CAUAAAGGCAGCUUCUCUGGCUUGUAAAAAGAAAGCAGAUGCUAGAAGAUUUAAUGUGAGUUUGGACAGGAUGAAUUUCAGCUGUGAAAUAUGCUGUAGGCUGACCUCAAGAGAUUUGAAAGUAUAUAUGGAUGGCAGUUAACCAAAAGCUCAAGUACACAUAUAUUGGCACACAGCUUCACUGGAUCAGACGUCAGCCGGAAUUUUCUGACAUGUACAGACUCAUUGUGCCUGGACUAAAAAUACAACACAAAUAACGUUUCUGGCAGUACGUUAGUUCUUGAAGAUAAAAGUAAAGGCAAAGGCAGGAUUUCAAAAGCACAGACCAUUGUAUAUUAGCUUUCAAUACUGGGUUCCUUCUAUGGGGGACACAUAAACAGCUUUAAAGACCAUUUGACUUGUUUCCUGAUCACAGACGAAAAGUUAUUUCUUCUUGCAUGCUGUGUGUGAGAAGCCAUGAAGGACAAAUUGCUUCACCAACAGGAAUGUCACUAGGUCUUCACGUGUCAUCUGGCAGUAUGACUUGAUGUAAUAACCAUCCAGCUGUCCCAUCAGGCACAAAGACAGUGUGGAACCUCACCCUGCUUUUGCUGAAUUCCUCCCACAUGACACUGGCCUGAAAGGCCUGUUUAGGCUUAGAUCUCCCCCCUGUGGCAAUCAAACCCAAGUCAAUAAUUUCAAAGCAUUUUCCA
Pezoporus occidentalis (night parrot) is the source of this 692-nucleotide long non-coding RNA. RefSeq lists it as uncharacterized. The record is from RefSeq and is a predicted model, not a curated record. NCBI's taxonomy places the organism in Eukaryota, Metazoa, Chordata, Aves, Psittaciformes, Psittacidae. The transcript has 2 exons.